GUAGGUGGCAAGCGUUGUCCGGAAUUAUUGGGCGUAAAGCGCGCGCAGGCGGUUCUUUAAGUCUGAUGUGAAAGCCCACGGCUCAACCGUGGAGGGUCAUUGGAAACUGGAGAACUUGAGUACAGAAGAGGAAAGCGGAAUUCCACGUGUAGCGGUGAAAUGCGUAGAGAUGUGGAGGAACACCAGUGGCGAAGGCGGCUUUCUGGUCUGUAACUGACGCUGAGGCGCGAAAGCGUGGGGAGCAAACAGGGAUUAGAUACCCUGGUAGUCCACGCCGUAAACGAUGAGUGCUAAGUGUUAGGGGGGUUUUCCGCCCCCUUAGUGCUGCAGCUAACGCAUUAAGCACUCCGCCUGGGGAGUACGGCCGCAAGGCUG
This 375-nucleotide ribosomal RNA is filed under the name uncultured organism. Its description in RNAcentral is "partial 16S ribosomal RNA". It matches the Rfam family "Bacterial small subunit ribosomal RNA", at positions 527 to 896 of the family's 1533-position model. The record is from RNAcentral.